AGUGAACGCUGGCGGUAGGCCUAACACAUGCAAGUCGAACGGCAGCACAGUAAGAGCUUGCUCUUACGGGUGGCGAGUGGCGGACGGGUGAGGAAUACAUCGGAAUCUACUUUUUCGUGGGGGAUAACGUAGGGAAACUUACGCUAAUACCGCAUACGACCUACGGGUGAAAGCAGGGGAUCUUCGGACCUUGCGCGAUUGAAUGAGCCGAUGUCGGAUUAGCUAGUUGGCGGGGUAAAGGCCCACCAAGGCGACGAUCCGUAGCUGGUCUGAGAGGAUGAUCAGCCACACUGGAACUGAGACACGGUCCAGACUCCUACGGGAGGCAGCAGUGGGGAAUAUUGGACAAUGGGCGCAAACCUGAACCAGCCAUACCGCGUGGGUGAAGAAGGCCUUCGGGUUGUAAAGCCCUUUUGUUGGGAAAGAAAAGCAGCAGGUUAAUACCCCGCUGUUCUGACGGUACCCAAAGAAUAAGCACCGGCUAACUUCGGG
This 492-nucleotide ribosomal RNA is filed under the name uncultured bacterium. Its description in RNAcentral is "partial 16S ribosomal RNA". It matches the Rfam family "Bacterial small subunit ribosomal RNA", at positions 29 to 507 of the family's 1533-position model. The record is from RNAcentral.